This is a non-coding RNA of Struthio camelus australis, 247 nucleotides long. The record is from RefSeq and is a predicted model, not a curated record. Lineage: Eukaryota; Metazoa; Chordata; Aves; Struthioniformes; Struthionidae.
UCUGCAUGACUUCCUGAGAACUAUUUUGAGCAUGUGGUGUUAGAGAUCACGACUGCCUGGGUAGCGAUCCCCAAGUUGUCUACCAAGACUACAUAACAGCUGAUAGCACUGCCUGUGGAAUUAAAACAGAGGCCAACUUCUCAGAGGCUUUGCAUGAAGUCGUGGCGUGGAGAAGCUGAGUGCCGAGAAGGAGGCUGAGCAGGCGCUGUGCGGGUGUCUUCCGGAAGGGCUGAGGAUUGGAGGUGAG